GACGUAGGGCGCGAGCGUUGUCCGGAUUUAUUGGGCGUAAAGAGCUCGUAGGCGGCUUGUCGCGUCGAAUGUGAAAUCUCAGAGCUCAACUCUGACAUUGCAUUCGAUACGGGCAGACUGGAGGUAUGCAGGGGAGAACGGAAUUCCCGGUGUAGCGGUGAAAUGCGUAGAUAUCUGGAGGAACACCGGUGGCGAAGGCGGCAUUCUGGACCGACAUUGACGCUGAGGCGCGAAAGCCAGGGGAGCAAACGGG
This 253-nucleotide ribosomal RNA is filed under the name uncultured bacterium. RNAcentral's name for it is "partial 16S ribosomal RNA". It matches the Rfam family "Bacterial small subunit ribosomal RNA", at positions 524 to 776 of the family's 1533-position model. The record is from RNAcentral.